GGAGGCCUGACAAAUAGCGUAUAAAAGGGGUCGGCUGAGUUCCGUAAGAAAAGAAUUGCCGGUGUCAUUGCAACGUACAGACAGUGCGCGCUAGUUGAGCCUUGUCUUUUUUUUAAAAAAAGUCCAGUAAAGUCCAAAAAUUUUCUUUAGUGAAAUAAAAAUAAAUGCUAAAUGCAUUUUUUUUUUAAGUCGCGAGUUGUAAAAACAAAAAAAUAAAUAAAUUGUGAGGAGUGUAGGCGAAGAGCCCACGAUCACCUCUAAGCGCCCGGGAGAACGUGGUCAUCAGAGGCAAGAAGAGGGAGAAGCCUUUAUUAUACUUGCCAAGGCAGGAGGAUUGGCCAUCAGCGGUGACGACCAUAUAAGGCCCAAAGCACAAAACCCGUGGAAGAACCCGCCCCCCCCCAGCGACACUGUGCCAGGAGAUAAGGUGAACCACGCCAGAGUGAAGGCGAAAAGGGUACGGCACAGUUCGCUGGUGAGUGCUAGGCUUAAGUAUCAUAAAAUUCUAUGCAAAAGCUUUUGCGCGAGGGAAAUAUCUACCCAAAAGGAUUUUUUUUAAAGCUCGCAACGAGGAGCAAAGAUUCAGCCUUCCGGUUUGUGUAAGGGGUCAGUCGAGACCACCACCGGCAUGUUAUAACCCAAUCAUUGGGAUUAGAUGAUACACUGCGCGUCCCAAGUAUAGUCCGAGAAAUAUUAAUUUUUUUGAACAUUUCAUUAUUUGUAAUAUAUACGUUCAGGCAUUUGUGUUGCGUAGAUAAUUUGUUAAUAAGUUUGUACGUAUUUAUACUUUCGUUUUUUUUUAUUGUCUUUGUGCCCGCCAGGCAAGAAGAACCCAAACAAAAGGGUAAAUUGUAGUAGUUUCUGAGCGGGGAAUAUCCGGCUCCCGGAAACCCUUCACACCAUCCGAAAAGAGCUCUUGUAGGUAGGGUGGCAGGUUUUUAUAUUGUUUGUUUGACAUACGUGUAUAAACGGUGAUCGAUUUGAUUGGUUCCUUUUUGUUGUGGCGGCCGGAAACCGAUCAUAAAAUUCAUUCAUUUUGUUGUGUGUAAAUUCCUAUGUUUUAUAAUAAAUUUUAACGUGUAUAUGAAAGAAUUUAAAA
This is a long non-coding RNA of Rhagoletis pomonella (apple maggot), 1099 nucleotides long. RefSeq lists it as uncharacterized. NCBI's taxonomy places the organism in Eukaryota, Metazoa, Arthropoda, Insecta, Diptera, Tephritidae. The record is from RefSeq and is a predicted model, not a curated record. The transcript has 2 exons.